AGAGAGCUUUUAGGAGAGGAAAGAAGUCCUGUAUCUUCGGCUCUGGAUAAUUGCAGAAUGGGUUUGGAAUGCAUUUAAGAAAACAGAUCCAGCAAAUAAGGAAUUCUGGACUAAUAAGACCCCAUCUUUCUAACUGCCUGGCGAGUUGUUGCUGAUGCAUUUUCACAGGCCAUAUCAAUACAUGUUCCAGAGAAUGGCGACACUAUAUGAAUGAAGAUGCAAUUAAUCACUUGUGACUUGAGGUGAUGUGAGUCUCAAAAAUAUCUGAAGAGAGGGUAAACUUGGGAUUGCAGCCAGAUCAUGAAAUGUUGGUGCUUGGGGAGGCAGAUUAAGUGUUAAUUAACCCCUCCCAGGGCCAGGCAGGUGUGGGAUGUGGUGCACUGUUGUACAAUGCCCUACCAAUAUUGCACUCGUCCCGGCCUCCCGGACCCAGGGUAUUCCAUCUUUAACAGAGGAGCUCAGAAAGGUUGUUUUUCCUCAUUAUUUUCUCUCCGUAAACAUGUGGAAGAGCACUGUGAUAUGUACUUCAAAACUUUGUUCUCACUUAAAAAUAUAUUUUCAAAAUCACUUUCUACAGCACAUUUUGCUACUACAAUUAUUAGAGAUACAUACUUCAUAUCUGUAGUACUGCCAUUGGCUAUAUUGACCCAAUUUAUUCUAUCUAUUUGCAACAUGUGGCCUGCUAUGGGAGAAACCCAGGGAAUUUAUUCUAUACAGUUGGUAAGCCUCUGCUUCCAAAUGGUCCCACUGUCUGCACCUGACACUGGCUGGCUAGCUUCCACGUGGGGACCUUUGCCAACUCCACUAAGUCAUUCUCUUCCCUCUGUCCUUGUGACUUCACUCUGAAAGUUCCCACAUAUUGGGAUAGGAAGCAGUAUUGCACAAACUCUGUAUGGCCAGCAAGACCUAGGAUGACAAAUGCCUAUCAUAUUGCAUCUAUUCUCACCUGAGAGAGAGUUAGUCAGGAUAGAGCAAAGAGAAUGAAUGAUCCGAUUGGAAUCCAGCCACAGUAGUCUGGGGUCAAUAGCAGGACAUCUCCAGCUUAAUAGAAUAAUGCUUAAAAUACUCCAUUCUAAAUGGAAUCCAAAUAAAUGUUCAAGUCUGUCCUCAGCAGGGUAACUCGUUUUGUUGUUAUUACACAAGUAGAAUGGGAAGAGGCUUUAUUUCACUUAUGUGGUAACAAAAUGCUCAACUCCAUUACAAGGUCAAUUACAAUGUAACAACAUGUUAAAAUACAGUGUUAUUAUUGAGUUAUUACAGUGUUACUACACCGGCAUGAGAAUAACUUAAUUAGGCAAUGUGACACAUAAUAUAUGAUAUUAAAUAUAGCAAGUUCUGUACAAUGUAUAUGGAUUUUUUUGACUGACUAUUAUGGUGGAGCAGAGAAGCAGACAGUGGAGACAGACUGGGCAGUUCAGUCAGUUGAGCCCUGGGGUCUGUCUGCUCCUGGGAGGUAUGAUGACAACCACAGCACUCAGCGGUUAGAUACAGUUAGCACCAGUGUCACCACAUACUUCACUGACUAGAUGACCUUGGAACAGCAGUGCUCACUCACAGUUGCUCUUGAUUUAUUUGACAGUUUUUAAAAAGUCGUAUCGUUCAUUAGCAUACUUGUUGUGUACAGAAUCACAAAGGUCAAAUAAACAUAUUUUUAAGAAA
Molecule: long non-coding RNA, 1659 nt
Organism: Salvelinus fontinalis (brook trout)
Lineage: Eukaryota; Metazoa; Chordata; Actinopteri; Salmoniformes; Salmonidae
Exons: 2
Source: RefSeq, a predicted model, not a curated record